CGGCUCUGGACGCCCUGGUCAUCGACCCAGCAGUCCCGCCCCAGAGUCGGAACCGCCCGCGUCGGGGUCGUUGUGGGCCGGUCCGUGACCUGUCCAGGCUUCCCGCCCACCCUAAGGAGUUCGGUGCCCGGGCCCCUUUGCAGAUGGGGAAGCCGAGGCUCGGGGCUGUGUCAGCGGCAUCGCGGCUGGUGCUGGCCUCGCUGAGACUGGGUCUUCGGAAAUAGUCUGCAGGGGCCGUGUGAGUCCGGUGGGCAGCUGCGGCACCGUGUGGGCGAGGUGCUCUGGGCCUGAGACCGGGGAGGAGGGUCCCGGGAUCUGGACCGCACCGGGCAGAGGGCGCUGAGGGCGAGCUGAUGGGCUAGGACUGGGUGUCGGGUGGCAGGGGUUGCAAAGCGCCCAUGGCGGGGCCUGGUAGUCGGCUUGGGUGCCUGGCCUUUGUUCUUGAGCAGCGGGGACCUUCGGAAGGGCCGACACCGAAAGUGAUAGCCGAUUUGUGUUCUUAAAAAAAAAAAAUCACUGGCAACUGCGGUAGGAAGUGAAAGCACCUUUCGUUUUGAUGGUGUCGCUUUAAUCCUCACCGCAAGCCAGGAGGCAGGAGGCACUCCCCGCUGAAGGUGAGCUCCCUGCAGCUGAGCUCCCUGCAGCUGGUGGAGCUGACAGUCCGCUCUCAGAAGCUGUCGUUUGGUUCUCAUUCCAACAGAAUCGGGUGGAAUAAAAUGCUUUUGCUUAGCAAGACCUUUUCCAUAUUCAAUGUUUUCUUUUCAUAUUGUCCCUUGAUGGAAUGUAUUGUGGUUGUUUGUUGUGUGUUUCUUUCCACUCCAUUUAAACUUGUAAGGAGUUCGUUCUCUCUCUCUCUCUCUCUCUCUCUCUCUCUCUCUCUCUCUCGCUCUGCCCGCCCAGGGCCUUUGCACUGCUGUUGCUCUGCCUGGACCUCCUCCUCCCCUCACCUCCUUCAGGCCUGCAGAUGGCAUCCUAUGGGAUGUAACUGACCCCUGUGCACUCCGCACCCCUCGCUCUGCUCCGUUCUGCAGAGCACCUGUGGUUCAGGCCUCACAGUAGUCAAUGAAAAUAUAUUUAGAAAACACACACACUGUGGCUCAGAAGAAAGAAGCGAGGAGACGGAGAGCAGGUGCUGGCUGGGUGCUCUGUAAGAUGACCCGCUGUGGGAACUCACUGACGUUUCUCACGAGGAGGCUGGAGGGAUGGUUCCUGCGGAGAGACCACGGGCGCUACGCCGAGCGCCGUCAUAGUAUCAAUAGCGCACACUAUCAACGCGACCUAAGGCUGCUGACAGUGACUGCUCACCUGGCUGAGCUGGUGCUUGUCAGGUUCCCCACGGGUAAGUUGCUCGCCCACAUCCUUGCCAGACUGAGUGCUGCGGAAGGAAGUCUCCGUGUGCAGCCCCCACUAGAGAGCGUGGAAAGUAUCUAUGUAGGUUAUUUGGGUUCUUCUGUGUGGGAGACUUCUCCUCCCCCACGUGCUCAGUUCCUCCGUUUAUAUCAGCAUGGACUCGUCGAUAUAUAUAUUUUGUACUUUGGGUUAUAAUCCGUCACCACUUUA
This is a long non-coding RNA of Myotis brandtii (Brandt's bat), 1560 nucleotides long. RefSeq lists it as uncharacterized. Lineage: Eukaryota; Metazoa; Chordata; Mammalia; Chiroptera; Vespertilionidae. The transcript has 2 exons. The record is from RefSeq and is a predicted model, not a curated record.